This 218-nucleotide long non-coding RNA is filed under the name Vombatus ursinus (common wombat). Its description in RNAcentral is "lncRNA (ENSVURG00010012593.1)". The record is from RNAcentral. Lineage: Eukaryota; Metazoa; Chordata; Mammalia; Diprotodontia; Vombatidae.
GGCUGGGGCUGGGAAGGGGGCGGGACCCUGCUCCUGGUCCUCGGGGAGGUAGUGGGACCAGCCUCAGGGUUAUCGCAGGACCCUCCUGGGGGGCCUCCCCUUCCGGGCCACGCCCAGGCCCCCCCUUGGCACCCUUGAAACACCCGGGUUGUGGCCUCCUUCCUUGGGGAAGGAGAUCUGACAAGGCACCAGGAAAGGGCGGGGAAAGGAAAGCUGGG